Molecule: ribosomal RNA, 434 nt
Filed under: uncultured bacterium
Lineage: Bacteria
Description: partial 16S ribosomal RNA
Rfam family: Bacterial small subunit ribosomal RNA
Source: RNAcentral
AGCGAACGCUGGCGGCAGGCCUAACACAUGCAAGUCGAACGAACCUUUCGGGGUUAGUGGCGGACGGGUGAGUAACACGUGGGAACGUGCCUUUAGGUUCGGAAUAACUCAGGGAAACUUUUGCUAAUACCGAAUGUUCCCUUCGGGGGAAAGAUUAAUCGCCUUUAGAGCGGCCCGCGUCUGAUUAGCUAGUUGGUUGAGGUAAUGGCUCACCAAGGCGACGAUCAGUAGCUGGUCUGAGAGGAUGAUCAGCCACAUUGGGACUGAGACACGGCCCAAACUCCUACGGGAGGCAGCAGUGGGGAAUCUUGCGCAAUGGGCGAAAGCCUGACGCAGCCAUGACGCGUGAAUGAUGAAGGUCUUAGGAUUGUAAAAUUCUUUCACCGGGGACGAUAAUGACGGUACCCGGAGAAGAAGCCCCGGCUAACUUCGUG